Molecule: ribosomal RNA, 253 nt
Filed under: uncultured bacterium
Lineage: Bacteria
Description: partial 16S ribosomal RNA
Rfam family: Bacterial small subunit ribosomal RNA
Source: RNAcentral
UACGGAGGGUGCAAGCGUUAUCCGGAUUCACUGGGUUUAAAGGGUGCGUAGGAGGGCAGGUAAGUCAGUGGUGAAAUCUCCAAGCUUAACUUGGAAACUGCCGUUGAUACUAUCUGUCUUGAAUAUUGUGGAGGUGAGCGGAAUAUGUCAUGUAGCGGUGAAAUGCUUAGAUAUGACAUAGAACACCAAUUGCGAAGGCAGCUCGUUACUCAAUUAUUGACUCUGAGGCACGAAAGCGUGGGGAUCAAACAGG